AUUGAACGCUGGCGGCAGGCCUAACACAUGCAAGUCGAACGAGUGGCGGACGGGUGAGUAAUGUCUGGGAAACUGCCCGAUGGAGGGGGAUAACUACUGGAAACGGUAGCUAAUACCGCAUACCAUCGGAUGUGCCCAGAUGGGAUUAGCCAGUAGGUGGGGUAACGGCUAACCUGGGCGACGAUCCCUAGCUGGUGUGAGAGGAUGACCAGACACACUGGAACGUGGACACGGUCCAGACUCCUACGGGAGGCAGCAGUGGGGAAUAUUGCACAAUGAGCGCAAUCCUGAUGCAGACAUGCCGCGUGUAUGAAGAAGGCCUUCGGGUUGUAAAGUACUUUCAGAGAGGAGGCGUUACUCGCAGAAGAAGCACCGGCUAACUCCGUGCCAGCAGCCGCGGUAAUAC
This 406-nucleotide ribosomal RNA is filed under the name uncultured bacterium. RNAcentral describes it as "partial 16S ribosomal RNA". It matches the Rfam family "Bacterial small subunit ribosomal RNA", at positions 30 to 526 of the family's 1533-position model. The record is from RNAcentral.